This 440-nucleotide ribosomal RNA is filed under the name uncultured bacterium. RNAcentral describes it as "bacterial SSU rRNA". It matches the Rfam family "Bacterial small subunit ribosomal RNA", at positions 338 to 779 of the family's 1533-position model. The record is from RNAcentral.
CCUACGGGAGGCAGCAGUGGGGAAUCUUGCGCAAUGGGCGAAAGCCUGACGCAGCGACGCCGCGUGCGGGAGGACGGCCUUCGGGUCGUAAACCGCUGUUGCCCGGGACGAAACGCUCUUUCGGGAGCAUUGACGGUACCGGGUGAGGAAGCACCGGCUAACUCCGUGCCAGCAGCCGCGGUAAUACGGAGGGUGCGAGCGUUGUCCGGAAUCACUGGGCGUAAAGGGCGCGUAGGCGGCUCGAGGAGUCGGGGGUGAAAGUCCGGGGCUCAACCCCGGAUCGGCCUUCGAGACUCUCGAGCUGGAGCACGGUAGAGGCGGGUGGAAUUCCGGGUGUAGCGGUGGAAUGCGUAGAGAUCCGGAAGAACACCGGUGGCGAAGGCGGCCCGCUGGGCCGUGGCUGACGCUGAGGCGCGACAGCGUGGGGAGCAAACAGGAUU